GACGAACGCUGGCGGCGUGCUUAACACAUGCAAGUCGAACGGAAAGGCCCUGCUUUUGUGGGGUGCUCGAGUGGCGAACGGGUGAGUAACACGUGAGUAACCUGCCCUUGACUUUGGGAUAACUUCACGAAACAGGGGCUAAUAUCGGGUAGGAGCUCCUGCUGCGUGGUGGUGGUUGGAAAGAGUCGGCGGUUGGGGAUGUACUCGCGGCUUAUCAGCUUGUUGGUGAGGUAGUGGCUGACCAAGGCUUUGACGGGUAGCCGGCCUGAGAGGGUGACCGGCCACAUUGGGACUGAGGUACGGAGCAGACUCGUACGGGAGGCAGCAGUGGGGAAUAUUGCACAGUGGGCGGAAGCCUGAUGCAGCAGUGCUGCGUGCGGAAUGACGGCCUUCGGGUUGUAAACCGCUUUCGAAUGUGACGAAGAGUGAGUGACGGUAAUGGGUCAAGAAGCCACGGCUAACUAUGUG
RNAcentral lists this ribosomal RNA (468 nucleotides) under uncultured bacterium. Its description in RNAcentral is "partial 16S ribosomal RNA". It matches the Rfam family "Bacterial small subunit ribosomal RNA", at positions 28 to 507 of the family's 1533-position model. The record is from RNAcentral.